RNAcentral lists this ribosomal RNA (446 nucleotides) under uncultured prokaryote. Its description in RNAcentral is "bacterial SSU rRNA". It matches the Rfam family "Bacterial small subunit ribosomal RNA", at positions 355 to 796 of the family's 1533-position model. The record is from RNAcentral.
UCGAGAAUCUUCCGCAAUGGACGCAAGUCUGACGGAGCGACGCCGCGUGCGGGAUGAAGGCCUUCGGGUUGUAAACCGCUGUCAGUUGGGAGGAAAUCCUAUGGGGUUCUCUCCAUAGGUUGACCUAUCUUCAGAGGAAGGGCGGGCUAAGUUCGUGCCAGCAGCCGCGGUAAGACGAACCGCCCAAACGUUAUUCGGAAUCACUGGGCUUAAAGGGUGCGUAGGCGGCUUGGCAAGUUGGGUGUGAAAUCCCUCGGCUCAACCGAGGAAUUGCGCUCAAAACUGCCAGGCUUGAGGGAGAUAGAGGUGAGCGGAACUAAUGGUGGAGCGGUGAAAUGCGUUGAUAUCAUUAGGAACACCUGUGGCGAAAGCGGCUCACUGGAUCUUUUCUGACGCUGAGGCACGAAAGCUAGGGUAGCGAACGGGAUUAGAUACCCCCGUAGUCC